UCCCAGUGGCGCAAUUGAGUUGGCGCGCGGUACUUAUAAUGCCGAGGUUGUGAGUUCGAUCCUCACCUGGGGAA
RNAcentral lists this transfer RNA (74 nucleotides) under Trichonephila inaurata madagascariensis. Its description in RNAcentral is "tRNA-Ile". It matches the Rfam family "tRNA". From Rfam's summary of the family: Transfer RNA (tRNA) molecules are approximately 80 nucleotides in length. Their secondary structure includes four short double-helical elements and three loops (D, anti-codon, and T loops). Lineage: Eukaryota; Metazoa; Arthropoda; Arachnida; Araneae; Nephilidae. The record is from RNAcentral.